RNAcentral lists this ribosomal RNA (518 nucleotides) under uncultured Entrophosporaceae. RNAcentral describes it as "bacterial SSU rRNA". It matches the Rfam family "Eukaryotic small subunit ribosomal RNA", at positions 569 to 1078 of the family's 1831-position model. Lineage: Eukaryota; Fungi; Glomeromycota; Glomeromycetes; Entrophosporales; Entrophosporaceae. The record is from RNAcentral.
AGCAGCCGCGGUAAUUCCAGCUCCAAUAGCGUAUAUUAAAGUUGUUGCAGUUAAAAAGCUCGUAGUUGAAUUUCGGGAUUGACGCAUCGGUCGUGCCUUAAGGGGUAUGAACUGGUGUGGUCAAUUUCUUACCUUCUGGUGAAUUAUGAUGUCCUCCUUAAUUGGGUGUUUCAAUGAACUAGGACUUUUUACUUUGAAAAAAUUCGAGUGUUUAAAGCAGGCAUUAUUUGCUUGAAUACAUUAGCAUGGAAUAAUAAAAUAGGACAAUGAUUCUAUUUUGUUGGUUUCUAGGAUCACUGUAAUGAUUAAUAGGGAUAGUUGGGGGCAUUAGUAUUCAAUUGUCAGAGGUGAAAUUCUUGGAUUAAUUGAAGACUAACUACUGCGAAAGCAUUUGCCAAGGAUGUUUUCAUUAAUCAAGAACGAAAGUUAGGGGAUCGAAGACGAUCAGAUACCGUCGUAGUCUUAACCAUAAACUAUGCCGACUAGGGAUCGGAUGAUGUUAAUUUUUUAAUGACUCA